RNAcentral lists this ribosomal RNA (625 nucleotides) under Oxytheca perfoliata. RNAcentral's name for it is "eukaryotic LSU rRNA". The stretch from base 248 to 403 matches the Rfam family "5.8S ribosomal RNA". The record is from RNAcentral. Lineage: Eukaryota; Viridiplantae; Streptophyta; Magnoliopsida; Caryophyllales; Polygonaceae.
UCGAAACCUGCACAGCAGAACGACCCGCGAACUCGUUUACGAACCUCGAGGGGGUGGGGCCCGCCCUACCCCCUCGGAGCCGAAACGCGCCGCCCCCUCUCCCCGUCAAAAGGGCGAGGGGACGGCGGGCGACGGCAAGUACCCAAACACCGGCGCGGGUUGCGCCAAGGACCAUGAAUUCUAUCGCGUCCUGCAGCCCCGGGCGACCGGGUGCGGCGGUGAAGCGUGUCGAAAAAUUUAACACAACGACUCUCGGCAACGGAUAUCUCGGCUCUCGCAUCGAUGAAGAACGUAGCGAAAUGCGAUACUUGGUGUGAAUUGCAGAAUCCCGUGAACCAUCGAGUCUUUGAACGCAAGUUGCGCCCGAAGCCAUCCGGCUGAGGGCACGUCUGCCUGGGCGUCACGCAUCGCGUCGCCCCCUCUCCCUCCUCGGAGUGGAGAGAGGGGCGGAGUUUGGCCCCCCGUGCGCCCCCCGCGCGCGGCCGGCCUAAACACGGAGCCCGUGGCCGCGAGUGCCGCGACGUUUGGUGGUUGAAUCAAUCUUAAGCAUCGCGUCGCGCGCCGCAGCGUGCAUGUAGCGCUCGAAGGACCCUUAGGCGCAGCAGCAGCCUACCCUUGCGACCCC